AGUAACACGUAUGCAACCUGCCUGCACAGCCGGAUAAUCGGGAGAAAUUCCGUCUAAUACGGCAUAAUGCAUCGACGGGACAUCCUGUUGGUGCCAAAGGUUGAUUCCGGUGGCGGAUGGGCAUGCGUCGCAUUAGUUAGUUGGCGGUGUAACGGACCACCAAGACGACGAUGCGUAGGGGUUCUGAGAGGAAGGUCCCCCACACUGGUACUGAGACACGGACCAGACUCCUACGGGAGGCAGCAG
Molecule: ribosomal RNA, 246 nt
Filed under: uncultured bacterium
Lineage: Bacteria
Description: partial 16S ribosomal RNA
Rfam family: Bacterial small subunit ribosomal RNA
Source: RNAcentral